This 378-nucleotide ribosomal RNA is filed under the name Triticum aestivum (bread wheat). RNAcentral's name for it is "partial small subunit ribosomal RNA". It matches the Rfam family "Eukaryotic large subunit ribosomal RNA", at positions 257 to 643 of the family's 3401-position model. The record is from RNAcentral. Lineage: Eukaryota; Viridiplantae; Streptophyta; Magnoliopsida; Poales; Poaceae.
UCAACGAGUCGGGUUGUUUGGGAAUGCAGCCCAAAUUGGGCGGUAGACUCCAUCCAAGGCUAAAUACAGGCGAGAGACCGAUAGCGAACAAGUACCACGAGGGAAAGAUGAAAAGGACUUCGAAAAGAGAGUCAAAGAGUGCUUGAAAUUUCCGGGAGGGAAGCGGAUGGGGGCCGGCGAUGCGCCCCGGCCGUAUGCGGAACGGCUCUUGCUGGUCCGCCGCUCGGCUUGGGGUGUGGACUGUUGUCGGCCGCGCCGGCAGCCAAAGACUGGGGGCCCUAGGUGCCCCCGGUGGCCGUCGUCGGCACGGCCAGUACCCGCGCGCUGAAAGGCGUGUCCCUCGGGGCAUGGCACUGCAACGGCCUGCGGGCUCCCCAU